Medicago truncatula (barrel medic) is the source of this 163-nucleotide microRNA precursor. It matches the Rfam family "MIR2606 microRNA precursor family". The record is from Rfam. Lineage: Eukaryota; Viridiplantae; Streptophyta; Magnoliopsida; Fabales; Fabaceae.
AAAACUUAGUUACAAUUCCUUAGGUGUUUUUCGUAUGGUUCUUAACUAAAAAUACAUAUUUUUUGGAUAUAACAAACUUCGAGAAAAUUAUGGAUUUGAAGAAAUCAUGGUAUUUUUAGUUAAGAACCAUACGAAAAGCACCUAAGAAAUUGUACUAAGUUUU